Molecule: ribosomal RNA, 301 nt
Filed under: uncultured bacterium
Lineage: Bacteria
Description: partial 16S ribosomal RNA
Rfam family: Bacterial small subunit ribosomal RNA
Source: RNAcentral
CAGCCGCCGCGGGAAAACGAAGGGGGCUAGCGUUGUUCGGAUUUACUGGGCGUAAAGCGCACGUAGGCGGAUCGUUAAGUCGGGGGUGAAAUCCUGGAGCUCAACUCCAGAACUGCCUUCGAUACUGGCGAUCUUGAGUCCGGAAGAGGUGAGUGGAACUCCUAGUGUAGAGGUGGAAUUCGUAGAUAUUAGGAAGAACACCAGUGGCGAAGGCGGCUCACUGGUCCGGUACUGACGCUGAGGUGCGAAAGCGUGGGGAGCAAACAGGAUUAGAUACCCGAGUAGUCCCUGUCUCUUAUAC